This is a long non-coding RNA of Humulus lupulus (European hop), 714 nucleotides long. RefSeq lists it as uncharacterized. The record is from RefSeq and is a predicted model, not a curated record. The transcript is spliced from 2 exons. Lineage: Eukaryota; Viridiplantae; Streptophyta; Magnoliopsida; Rosales; Cannabaceae.
CAUACAUUUAAUUUUUCUUUUCUCUCUCCUCUCUCAUCUCUCUACUCUUCCCCUUCCUUCCGAAUCUUCCCCUUCUCGCAUAUUCUUCUUCUUCUUCUUCUUCUUCUCUGUUCAUGUUAAUGGCGUUCCUUUCUCUUCUCUUCUCUCUCAUGUUCAUCUUUCAUCUCUUCUUCUCUUCUCUUAUUAUAUCAAAGCUCGUGGCUUGUGGUUCGUGGUGCGACAUGGGGAGGCGCAGAUCUGGUGCACUUCGUCCCCAAUCCUGACUACUGACUGCCUCCACCUCCAGCGCCCUUCGUCCCCAACCCUGGCCAAAUUCGCUUUGCAUCGUCCCCAAUCCCGAGAUCUCGGAUCCGCACGGCAAGGGAGAUUGCAUCAAUUAUGGAUUCAUGAGCGAGAUCUGAAGCUCAAAACCAAAAGGCCUUGGGUUCACGCGACAAAGAGGUUGCAUCAAGGAUUUUAUCACCAAAAAGCUCAAAACAAUGGUGAUGGCCUUUUCAGCAAAUCAAAAAUAAUCAAGCUAGAAGAAGAUGACAGAGAGUGAUGAGCACUGGGUUUGUGGGUUUUUGAAAGAAAGAAGAAGAACAAUUCUUUUAGAGAAGAUUUAUUUAUUUUCUUUUAGGUUUAGUUUUUGGGAAGAAGUUUUUAUUUGAUUUUCUAUGUUAGAAAGAUUUAAUUUAAUAUUUUAUAUUAAUAUCUUAGAUUUUAUUUGUUGAA